GUAUGGCCCUGACAGAGUCAAGUACUUAGGCCCAUUCUCCGGUGAGCCCCCAAGCUACCUCAAGGGCGAGUUCCCCGGUGACUACGGCUGGGACACCGCUGGACUCUCAGCCGACCCAGAGACCUUCGCCAAGAACCGUGAGCUCGAAGUGAUCCACUCCAGAUGGGCCAUGCUCGGAGCUCUUGGAUGCGUUUUCCCCGAGCUCUUGUCCCGCAACGGUGUCAAGUUCGGCGAGGCUGUGUGGUUCAAGGCCGGAGCCCAGAUCUUCAGCGAGGGCGGUCUCGACUACCUGGGAAACCCUAGCUUGGUCCAUGCACAGAGCAUCUUGGCCAUCUGGGCUACCCAAGUUGUGUUGAUGGGAGCAGUUGAGGGAUACAGAAUUGCCGGCGGACCCCUCGGAGAGGUGACCGACCCCCUUUACCCCGGCGGAAGCUUCGACCCCUUGGGCCUUGCUGACGACCCAGAAGCCUUUGCCGAGCUCAAGGUGAAGGAGCUCAAGAAUGGAAGGUUGGCCAUGUUCUCCAUGUUCGGAUUCUUUGUCCAGGCCAUCGUCACCGGAAAGGGACCAUUGGAGAACCUUGCCGACCACCUCGCUGACCCAGUCGCCAACAAUGCCUGGAACUACGCCACAAACUUUGUUCCCGGAAAGUGAGAGCUCAGGAGUUGUCUUGUACUUUCGUUUGUAUUGUUGUCGGUGAUGUAAAUUUGGUACCAAGUAUUGGACAACAAUAAUUUGAACUAUGUGCUACAAUAUGUGUCUGAAAUUAAGAGGUUACAUGGUUCAGAUCCACCUAAAAUCUUUCCUCCAAACUGGAUUUUUUUAUUUCAAAAAACCUCGAUUCAAUUUAGGCAUAACUACAACUCAAUCUAUUCCUUUACUGGAACAACGAUUUUUCUUGAGUACAUACAAAUACCAACAUUUAGUAUCGACACAUGUUAGUUUGAGUGUUAAUCCCACCCAUGUACGUUUAUCUUAUGCUACUGGUUUGAAAUCCGAAUAAAGAAGAGAAAGUGCAUAAGAUAGUCGACAACCAACACUUUAUUCUUCAUAUCGAAUCCUUAAAAUAUGAAUCCUAAACGAACAUAUCAGUUUGAGUGUUGUUUUUGAUUCAACAGAUUAAACUGAGGGACAGAUGACCGUUGAUCAAAUAUGUGCCGGCAGGAUCCGAAUCAAAUCAUUCCGAGUUUACGACCAGUGCGAGCUCGGUUAUUUUAAUUUGCUUCUACGAAGGAAAAAGAUCCAACAAUUAAAAGGUCGUACCCAGUGCACAAGGCUCCCGCUUUACGCAGGGUCUGGGAGAGGUGAAUGUCGGCUAGCCUUACCCCCAUUUUAUGGAAAAAGAUCCAACAAUUACGAGAAUAAAAUAUUGAAGCAUUCAAACGACAAUUUGUAUUGCUCAAGAUGGAGAUGAUUUUGAACAUUUAUUUGUUUAAUCUCUCUUCUAUAUUUUGCGCAGAUAAAAUGGCCUGAAAGAUAUACAGCCAACGACGGCAACAACAAAGCCUUAUCUCACUGAGUGGCGUGUACAAGAGUUUUGUAAUUAUAGUAAGAACCUAAUCAUUAGCAUACAACAACAACAGCUGGUUUUAUGAACAAAUAAAUGGCGAUCGAAUGUUAAAAAAUGAACAUUUGUACGAAGGCCGACUGUUAAAACCACCUCUGUCGCUACCAGCAUUGAAGCAUAAACCGUGCAGAACUUGAACAUAUUCGAUCUCAAGCAUGACCCUAGUCAGAUUACUUCCUUUAAAAAAUAUGCAUCCAUAUAUUGAGCUUACCAGUCUUAGCUCCAACUUGUCAGAGACGAAGUCACAUUUGUUUCGCCAAAUAAAGCGUCGACAUGUCUGGUUUAGCGAGGUAUCGCAAAGCUCAAGUGCGAGCGGCUACCCUUGCUCUGGCCACAGACUUAGAGUAUAGUUCUUCGUAUUGUGAUGCAGAAGUAUCCCAACUGAAAUCUAUAUUCAUGACCUUCUGAACAAGCUGUUGCCAAAUAUCAGGGUUAUUCGUGUAGAGGUCGAAAGCACGUUCCAUAGCACCGUUUAAUCCCUGUCGGCAUUUCCAAGUCAGGAUACAGUUAAUCAUGGACAGGGAAAACUAAAAUACUGAAGUGGAGAAAAAUCAUGAGAAUAACGGAGACAGAUGAUGCAAGGAUGUCCUAUCAAAUUCCGAGCCUCGGGCACCACCAAUGCCAGAUAAAAAAGAAGAAUGAAAGAAAAGAAAAACAAGAAUGUGUAUGUGUGCGAGAUUUACCUGUUCGUCAGGAGUCAAGAACGAAUAUCCAUUCCGAAACUGAAGAGGUACGGUGUCAUCAUCAACAUCAAAGACACUGCAGACAAAGUAUAUAAGGAAUUAAGUUUACUCUUUAACGAAUAUAACAUAAAUCGCUAGUAGAAGAUACAGGCAAUGGAUACCCACCUAUCAUUUAGACCACCAGUUUUUCUUGCAAUGGGUAUAGAACCGUAUCUCAUGGCUAUCAUCUGCCCAAGAAAAAUAAGACAUUAAUCCAGCAAUACGUAGUGACUAGUGUGCAGAAGUUUUGCACAGGUAAGAGAACAGACUUUACCUGUGUAAGUCCACAAGGCUCAAAGAUAGACGGGAUGAUGAACAUAUCAGAAGCAGCGUAAAUGGUAUGGGAAAGAGAAUCAUCAUACUUCAAAAUCAACCGAAUAUGAUCAUGAUUCGCAAAAUGACUUGCAAUACCCUCAAAUUCCCUCUACAGUAGAAAACACAGCAAGAAACCUUUCAGUUAAUGGUUCUACUAAUAAGUAUUUACAACCACUUGUUAAUCAAAUAAGCCCGACAAACACACCACAAAGAACCCAACACACGAUAUUAAAUUGGACUUGAACCCAGAAUCUUAGUAAUAUAUUCGAUUAGAGAAUAGGUAUAAUGUUUGAUAAUCCAUUAAUCUUAACAAUAUAUUUAUAUGAUAAGAGACUGCCCAGACAUGUCCCUUCUUGAGCAUAUAUAACAACAUAAAAUUCUAACAGUAACGAACAUAGCCAGGAUAUAAUAUCAAAACGGAAGAUAAAGCAGUGCCUGAAUAUGAUGCACUGGGCUAGAACCGAGAAGAACAAACUGUCCUCCGAGCUCCAAUGUUCGAUAUAUCGCAUGUCUGAUAAGAUGUACACCUUUCUGUGGCACCAAUCUUGUUAUGCAGCCCACCUAUUCAAGGAGUGAUCAAACAGUUUCAACUAAGGACUAAAGUUGCUUGACCAAUCACUCAUCUGGCUUACCGAAAAUAGAAUAUGAUGCCAUUUUAUGGAGUGCGAAAAUCAAAUUUAAUAGAAAAUCAAAUUACCAAUGGCCUCUUGACAUCUGCCGAAGAAAGCCGCAGAAUUCUUCUUAAUGCUUCCUUAUUUUCUGCUUUACCCUGACGAUCAUUAGCACUGUACUGUACUUUGAGAUAUGCAUCAGUGGCAGGAUUCCACGCAUCAGCGUCAAUACCAUUUAGAAUUCCAACGAACUUCUUAGAAUGGAAGUUUAGUGUUGAAUGGAGACCAUGUCCUCCCUGUGAUCAUAAAUAAACAACUAUUUUUAUACAAACGGAAGUUCAAGAAUAUCCAAUAACAUGGAAGCAUGAAAUGAUACAUCAGGCAAACCAUAUGACUGACACAAAAAUUCGACAAAUUGGCUAACUACACAAGACUUUUCACCCAUAGCAUCUUAAUCAAUUUCAAGGCUGUCUACCGUAAAGUUAUUUUGACUAUGCCAUGAAAGUUCAAAACAGAGACCAUGAUGUAUUUUUGCAUGAGUAGGGAAGAGAAAUGUUGUUCUCUUUUCUCAUCUGUGAAGUGGUACUUAUGCCCAAAAACAGAAUAAAAGUGGGAUAUUGAGUGUCCAACAAGAAGAACCUAUUGAUUAGGAGCCACAUAAUUUACUAGAGUCCAACACCUGAUGACUUCUAUAUCAAAGCUCUCAUAGAAAAGCACAUUUUUUAAAGUUUUUCUUUCAUCUUGAAGAGGCCAACAUCAUCUCAACACAAAUCCAAAAACAAAAUCAUACUCAGAUGUUGUUAUUCCUAACAUGUCUGGAAUCUGGAUUACUACUUAUACAAGAGAGACAUAUUUACACAAUUUAUGACAGAAAUUAACAUUUGGUGAAAAUAAUUAGAUUCUCCAAAAUCAAAUGUUAAAAGCAAACAACGUCUCUAGGCUGGGACAGGGCAAGCAAUUUGAAUUUGAAUCUGAUAUCUAUAGGAACUCGUAAGUAUGAGCAAAAGCCAUACCUCAGCAGUCCGCACCUCUUGCGCAUAGGUGGGCGAUACAGUUGUCACAAUAUUGGAGAAUACAACUGCACCCUUAAAGAGGAAAAACAAAAAUGAAAAUGGAAUCAGGAAAGGUUUUGCCGACUCCUGAAAGAUGCUGGUAAUAGAUGAAUCAACAAUUGCUGUACCUUAACAGCAUUGAUCCUAUCAUGUGCUGAGUUGUCCUGCAUUCUAUCUGGUCGAUUUAGCUGGUGGACAUCAAGACCACAAGAUGCCAAUUCUGAAGCACGCGCAGUCCCUUGGUAUUCAAAGUUGUGGCAUGUAAAACAUAUUCUACCUGAGUUUAAUCCCUUUGGAGCAUAUAGAUCCCAGUAAAGUGGUGCCUAAGAACAGCAACAAGUCAGUCACUGAGAGAACUAAGGCGGUCAAAGACAGCAUGGUAAAAAAAAUGAAGGGUUUAAUGGUCCAUACAACAAAAGCUGUCUGCCAAUCAUGGCAAUGAAUUAUGUCUGGUUUCUUGCCAGAUUGAAGAAGCAACUCAAGGGCUGCACGACUGAAAAAGGAAAAUCGCUUGAAAUCAUCACGUUCCCCAUAAAAUUGUCCUCUCCAGAAGAACUUAUCAGGAUGUAGAGGCUCAAUAAAAUAAACUGGAAGACCUGCAUAAUCAACACUAGAGUGAGCAUCCAAGACUACAGUGCGAAUCCAAGACAAAAAAAGUCAUGCAAACAGAAACUUUCAAUGUACGAACCUUCAACAGUGCCAACCCACACUUUAUUUUUGAAUAGUCGACCAUCAAAGUAUGACUCCAGCACCACAUCUAGGGCCUGCAUGUUAACGUGUAAUGAGACUCAACUAGAAAAACAUCUUUUCUAAGAUUCAUUAAGUAUUCAGUUUACCAUUAGGUCAGGAACACGAUCGUACUGCAUGCAGUCAUAUUUGGGAAGUAUAAUUUCCACAAGGUGUCCCUUCUUCUGCAGUGCUUUACCAAGACCAGCCACAACAUCCCCCAAACCACCAACCUGUAAAAUUAACUAGUUAUGUUGAUGGUAUGUUUAUCAAACCAAAUGAAAGAUCAUUGAGUUGUCCCUAUACAUUUACACAAAUAUUAAUGCUUAACAAAUUCCUGAAUCUGAACUGCUGUAAUAAAAGUUAUUGUAGCUUGACAAGUAAGAAACCCCACUCAGUUAUCUUAAUAGAAUAAAGCAAAGAAAGAUACAGAUGUAUAAAGGCAAGCUAAUCUCACCUUAGCAACUGGUGCCAUCUCUGCUGCAAUAUGAACGACAUGCAAUCCUGGACUAAAAAUCAACAAAGUCGCAGAUUAAAUAGAAGCUUAAAUACGUAAACCCUGUAUUCUUCUAAUACUAGAACGUUCAUACCUUGUUUGUGAUGAUAUCAGUUUGAGAAAUGUAGACACAGCCUCAUUCACGUUCUUUUCCUUGCAUGCCAUGUAUGAGUCACGAAGUCGUCGAUCUCUCUUCCAGACCAUUUCUCUCAACACCUUGGCAUCAUCCAUUGAUAUUUUUUUCUCAAACAACCAACCAUCGAUCAUAAGCAAUAAACGACUCCAAAAUUCCCACGGCAUAUCAUCCACAGGUUCAUCAACUGCCCUUCUCUUGCUUUCUUCUUUUAGAGUAUUUAGUGUAUCUUGAAAUUCCUCCACAGAUUCUUGAUAUAAUUGAACAUAGGAAUGUAUCUCUUCGUCAGAUCUUUGAAGCCGGUCCUCCAUAAGUUUUAUCUUCUGCUGCAUUAGCUCAUUAUAUUGUUGCAUCUUUUCUGAUGAUUCUUUAUAGAUAUUAGCUGUUUCAAGAGAUUCUUCUAAUUUAUCAACUUUCUUUCGAAUCUCUUGGUUCUGCUGUAACACGGUAAUAGCUUGAUCUGCCUGUUUGGUUGACUUAUCUAGCAGUAGCUGCAAACUCUCCACCUUCUCCCAUAAUCCUUUGCAUUCGACUUUAAGAUUGGAUAGUUUGGAAACAUCUUCCUGAGAAACUGACAAUUUCAAUUCCAACUCUUUCAAGGCAGACUCUAAAGUCGACCGUUGUUUUUCCAGCAUUACCACUCGUUCAUCCGUAUUCUUCACAUAGCUAAGCUCCUCCCUAAGUGCUUCUACGUCACUCCUGAGGGAUUGAUUUUCUAAUCUCAAUGCAUUCAGAUUGGUAACAAGAGCAUUGAUACUAGUUCUGUAUGGUACAGGAGCUUCUUCAUUAAACAGCUCGUUUUCAUUCUCAAAAAUCUCCACCUGACCUCUUUCGACACCACCACCACUAUUAAGAUUCAGAUCAUUCCGCAUCUCAUCUAAUUGGUUUUCUAGAAGUUCCACCUUUAUUUUUUCCUGGGCAGCUACUCUAAUCCGUGCAUCGGUCUCUGCCAAUCUCAUUUCCAAUGCAUUCAUCUCUCCUUGCAAUGCCUCCUUCUCGCCAAGAAUCUUGUCAAGGUCUUCAAGCGCAUUAACCCGCGCUUGGUUGAGAAUAUGGAUAUCUAAGGCCACAAAGAUAUAUACACAUUUCACAAAUCUAAUAGAAGAGGCAUAAACAGUAAGGCCUGUUUGGGACUGCUUUUAAAGACUAAAAGCACUUCUGACCACAUUUGAAAAAGAAAAAAACUUAGAAGCACUUUUACAUAAGUCAAGUGCUUUCUCAACUGCAUUUCAAAAAUCAUUUGAAUUUCUAAUAGAAAUUUCGAAGUUUUCUAAUAAAGGUGCUAGAAGUGCUUAUGCCUGGAAGUGCUUCUAACAAAAGCAGUCCCAAACGGACCCUACAUGAAACCAAAUGAACAGGGAAGAGAAAUAUCAUACUUUUCUCUGCAUUUCUAAUCAUGUCAACCAAAUCCUGUGUACUAUACGCCUGUAAAGCCAACGAGUAAUCAAAUUUAUGAAAAUUGAACAAAUAUGUAUAUAAGAACCCUUGAGUUUCGAAAAGCAAAGGCGAUGAGUUACCGAAGGAUUUGCUUCAUCAGACGGAGUCAGAGCCGUCGAAAUCGAAUCGUCUCCAUUGGCAGUGCGAGCUUCGUCAUCAGAUACGCUUUCAAUGGGGACGACUACGCCCGCCGAAGAAGCAUUUUCAGAUUCGGAGUCGUCGUCGCCAUUGAGCUGGAAAUCUGCAGUCGUCGAAGACUGUUCGACCGAGUCUUUCUUCUUCAGUCUCUGCCUCUUAUUCACGCAAUAGCAACUUCACAAGUUUGAAAUUGAAUCAAAAUCAUCAUCAAUCACUUGAUCACGCAGAUUGAACUUUGAGAAUUUGAUCGAUAAACGAGCUCAGAUAGAAGAGAGAGAGAGGGACCUGAGAUUGCGGUGCCGGAGCUUGCAGGAUGAAGCGGGAGUGCAGUGAAAUGAAAAGCGGGAGCUCGAAUUUGAGCAGUGCCUGGAGGUGGAGUUGGAGCCGCUAAUGGUGAGCCCCUGAGUUACGAACCAGGUCGUUAGCCUGACCGCCAUUGAUGAUCAACUCAAGCUUUCUCUCUCCUCUUUCCGUGGAGAGAGAGAAGAAGGAGUGAAUGAGUAAUAUUAUCUCUUUCUUCUCAUCGUACGACUCGCGGUGUGUCCAGGCAGAAGCAAUCUCCGGUCCAAGGAAGGUAUUCGAAUCUUCUCCCCUCUUUAUUUUGUUAUUUUUUAUUUCAUUUUUCACGGAUUCAGUUUCUAGAUCAUUCUCUCCGUUGGAUUAGUGGGAGUUAGUCAAUAAUAAUUUAAAAUUAUUAAAAUACAUAUGUGAGUCUUUCUCAUUUUAAAAAGCAAAUUGACGUACCAGAACCGCUCGUUAAUUUAUGAAAUGAAAAAUUAAUUUGUCGUUAAUUUGUUACGAGAUAGCUCAUAUUCUAAAAAAUAAAAAAAAAUGAAUUGGAUUAGUGAGCAAUAUUGAGGAGGUGAGGCGUAAAAUGUAGAUGAAAAGUUGGGCGCAUCACACUCUUAUCCAAAUCGAAUGGUGAUGGGUGUGGGUAUAUCAUCUUCAGAUCCCUUCAAUUAAAUCUUGUUAAUCAAUCAAUUCGGAUUUUUGAAAUUUAAUUCAACGGUUAAAAAUAAGGGAUCUUUUUAAAAAUUAUAAUAACUUUAACUGUUAGAUCAAAUUUCAAAUGUCCGAAUUUGUUAAUUGACAGGAUUUGAUGUAAGGGAUCCGAAAAAUAUCUCUUUCCGUCGGUCAAAGGUCCAUAUUGGGCCCUUCCACAAAAUUUGGAACUUAGGUCACAUGAGAUCAGUUCCACUCCUAGGGACAUUAAUUGUCGUCAUUGUCACCUAAAGGGUUUAAACUUGUGAAAUUGCAACAUUAAUUGUUACAAUUAAUUAUUGUCAUCGUUGUUACCUUUUGGGGCUGAAAGUUACUAGUUAAUUAACUUUAAUUUUUUUGCAUUUUUACUGAUUGGGCUUUGGCUAUUCCUAUUUUGUUGGGCUAAUUUAAUGUAUUUAUAUUGGGAUGAAACUGCUUACUUUGUUUUCGACCCAAAAAAAAAACAAAUAUUAAGUCUUGGGUGCUCGGAUUCAGAUAAAUAUUUAUUAGUUUUGCUCGAGG
This 8698-nucleotide long non-coding RNA is filed under the name Malus domestica (apple). Its description in RNAcentral is "long non-coding RNA (MDOM_LNC005333)". Lineage: Eukaryota; Viridiplantae; Streptophyta; Magnoliopsida; Rosales; Rosaceae. The record is from RNAcentral.